AGCCGGUGAUGAGAGAAUUUAAUUUCUGACACCUCUUAUGACAGCUUGUGAUUCAAACUUUAAUCCUGAGGCUU
This is a small nucleolar RNA of Doryrhamphus excisus (bluestripe pipefish), 74 nucleotides long. RefSeq annotates it as small nucleolar RNA SNORD60. The record is from RefSeq and is a predicted model, not a curated record. Lineage: Eukaryota; Metazoa; Chordata; Actinopteri; Syngnathiformes; Syngnathidae.